Molecule: ribosomal RNA, 501 nt
Filed under: Pseudomonas sp.
Lineage: Bacteria; Pseudomonadati; Pseudomonadota; Gammaproteobacteria; Pseudomonadales; Pseudomonadaceae
Description: partial 23S ribosomal RNA
Rfam family: Bacterial large subunit ribosomal RNA
Source: RNAcentral
GUUAUAUGGUCAAGCGAAUAAGCGCACACGGUGGAUGCCUUGGCGGUCAGAGGCGAUGAAGGACGUGGUAGCCUGCGAAAAGUAUCGGGGAGCUGGCAACAAGCUUUGAUCCGGUAAUGUCCGAAUGGGGAAACCCACCUCCUAGGAGGUACUGCAUGGUGAAUACAUAGCCAUGCAGGGCGAACGCGGUGAACUGAAAUAUCUAAGUAACCGUAGGAAAAGAAAUCAACCGAGAUUCCCUGAGUAGUGACGAGCGAACGGGGAACAGCCCAAAAGUCGAUAUGGUUUUAGCAAAACGGUCCUGGAAAGACCGGCCAUAGAAGGUGAUAGCCCUGUAUGCGAAAGGGCCAUAUCGAUGAAAAAUGAGUAGGGCGGGGCACGAGAAACCCUGUCUGAAUAUGGGGGGACCAUCCUCCAAGGCUAAAUACUCCUGACCGACCGAUAGUGAACCAGUACCGUGAGGGAAAGGCGAAAAGAACCCCGGAGAGGGGAGUGAAAUAG